UAACGGACGCAGUAGCAAUAUCCGCGGUUAUUGGCGAAAGGGUGAGUAAUGCAUGGGUAACGUACCUCGAACUCGGGGAUAACAGCGGGAGCAAUCCCUUUAGCGAAAGUGCUGCUAAUACCCGAUGAAGUCACCGGGUCGCAUGGCCUGGUGAUCAAAGAUGGGGACCGCAAGGCCUAUCGGUUUGAGAGCGGCCCAUGUCCUAUCAGCUAGUUGGCAGGGUAACGGCCUACCAAGGCGGCGACGGGUAGCGGGACUGAGAGGUUGGCCCGCCACAUCGGGACUGAGACACUGCCCGGACACCUACGGGUGGCUGCAGUAACGAAUAUUGGGCAAUGGGCGCAAGCCUGACCCAGCAAUGCCGCGUGCAGGAGGAAGUCCUUCGGGAUGUAAACUGCUGUCAGGGGUCAACAAGCAAAGGGACCUAAUACGUCCUGGCGUUGAGUCGCCCCAGAGGAAGCCUCGACUAACUCUGUGCCAGCAGUCGCGGUAAGACAGAGGAGGCGAGCGUUGUUCGGA
RNAcentral lists this ribosomal RNA (519 nucleotides) under uncultured bacterium. RNAcentral describes it as "bacterial SSU rRNA". It matches the Rfam family "Bacterial small subunit ribosomal RNA", at positions 65 to 549 of the family's 1533-position model. The record is from RNAcentral.